UCACUCCGCAAUCUCCAUAUCAAACCCAAAUGAAGGAUAUCGAACCCACCAUAUCAGCUCCACCAGUCAAUUCCACAGCUUUCAGCUGAACUCGACAUAGCUCGAUCAGGGACAAGACCUCCGCGCGGACCUGCAGAUACAGCUCCCUCGUCGGAACGAGAAUGAACGCGCUCGGCGCAACUUUGCUCUUCGACCCGGAAUUGCCGAACAGCUUCUGGAGCAGAGGAAGAAGGUAAGCGAAAGUCUUCCCGGAGCCGGUCUUCGCCCUCGCGACAACAUCCUUACCCUCCUAUAACCGCCAAAAGAAAAAGAAAGAAGACGCGCGUUAAAUCAACGUUCAAGCAAA
Long non-coding RNA from Syzygium oleosum, 346 nucleotides. RefSeq lists it as uncharacterized. NCBI's taxonomy places the organism in Eukaryota, Viridiplantae, Streptophyta, Magnoliopsida, Myrtales, Myrtaceae. The transcript has 2 exons. The record is from RefSeq and is a predicted model, not a curated record.